AGAGAGAGAGAGAGAGAGAGAGAGGAGCAGACCUUUGAUCGAGCUGCUUUCCAAUGAAGAUGAGAUGCGAGCCUAAGAGAGUCUGAGAGACUGAGAUAGCGAGAGUGUGCGAGUGCGAGACAGUGAGACUGGGCGAGAGUUUGAGAACUAGACAGCGAGAGUGUGCGAGUGCGAGUGUGCGACAACGACUCAACAAGAGUUCGAGUGUUCGACUGUUCGAGAGCGAGACUGCGACUCUGCGACUGCGAGAGUUCGACUGUUCGAGAGUGAGACUGAGAGAGUUGACCCUCUCAAUUUAGUUUAGGUGUUUGACCGGCCAUAAAUCCUGUGUGGUUGAGCUCAUUCUAUUAUCGUAGAUCCUUAGAUACACCCAAUAAAAGUAUGACAUGUAUAUUAGUCGGGCUCUCGGGCUUUUUUUCAUUUCCAUAAACAAGGCCUGGGCCCGGACCGGUUAUACACGGGCCCGGCCCGAACCUCCAAUAAACAUAGUCGGGACCAGUAUAAAGCUCGGCCCGGCCCUGCCCGGUCGGGCCGGCCGGUCCGGAUCGGGCUUUUUAUCUCCAACGGGCUUUAUGCCCACCCCUAGUAACACCUUGGACCUAAUUUUACCAGUUUACCGGAUUUCUAUUAAUUACUAGAGAAUUUAACCGUGCUUGGUAACUUGGUAAUUUAAUACACGAGUUCAUUUUUGAGUUUUUCUCAAAUUAUUAAAUUCUUCUUUUAAGGCCUGAUGUCGUAGCACACGACGAUACGAGUUCACCGACGUCUUUAGAUUAUUUUUCGGAGCUUCGAACUAUUUUCUACAAUAAGUUUUGGUAAAAAGAAAUUAUUUUUUUUCUGGAAUUAGAAAAUAGCUCAUUUAAUCUGAGCCAUAGGAUCAAGUAGGGUUUUAAUCUCAACUAUUGAAUUGAAUUUAAAUAGGAAAGAGGGUUGUUGACCAAGUCAAAAGCCACUUUGGGCAUUAACCGUCUCUCUCUCCUCUCCUCGACUCUCUCUCUCUCAUCCCUCAUCUUUGCCACGCCGGAGUGGCGCUGUCCGGCCACCUAUGGCGACAAGACCCCACCAAUCUCUUCCUCUCCCUCUUCUUUACAAAAUCUAGCCUUCAAUUCACCCGUGCAUGAACCCUAGUAGGAGAUUGACCAGAAGAGGCACAGCGGUCCUCCGGCAAUUCUUGUUGAUGUCGGCCACGACUUGGCGCUCGAACGGNNNNN
RNAcentral lists this long non-coding RNA (1211 nucleotides) under Fragaria vesca (wild strawberry). RNAcentral's name for it is "long non-coding RNA (FVES_LNC005394)". Lineage: Eukaryota; Viridiplantae; Streptophyta; Magnoliopsida; Rosales; Rosaceae. The record is from RNAcentral.